This 318-nucleotide long non-coding RNA is filed under the name Physcomitrium patens. RNAcentral's name for it is "long non-coding RNA (PPAT_LNC005557)". The record is from RNAcentral. Lineage: Eukaryota; Viridiplantae; Streptophyta; Bryopsida; Funariales; Funariaceae.
UUUAGAGAGUGUGUUGAUAUUUUAGUUUUUAGUUAAAUUCUAAAGUCAAUCAAAUAAUUACAACAAAAUAUAUAAAGAUUUUUAUAGGUUGAAGUCUCAAAAAUUGGAAUUUAAAGAUUAAUGAGUAUUUUUAAGAUCUUUUGCAAUCUGUUAGUUAGAUUGAAGUGAAUUUUUAUUUAUAAAAACUACAAUUGAUUUCUAAUAAUUUAGGUAUAUUUUAGAGAAAAUUUAAUAGUUUAAAAAAGAGAUAUUGGUAUAAGAAGUUCAACAUUUAGAUUGGAGUAAGAGACCAACCAACACCUAAGCAGAAUUUAGGUU